Sebastes umbrosus (honeycomb rockfish) is the source of this 1616-nucleotide long non-coding RNA. RefSeq lists it as uncharacterized. The record is from RefSeq and is a predicted model, not a curated record. The transcript is spliced from 3 exons. NCBI's taxonomy places the organism in Eukaryota, Metazoa, Chordata, Actinopteri, Perciformes, Sebastidae.
AAAAAAUUGAUAUUAAAUCUGUGAACAAUACAAGAAAAUAUUUAUUAUGACGAAGUAGUAUGUCCCAAUUGUAUGCAUACAGUAUGUACUUAGUGAGGGCCGCUGCAGUACGUGCCGUACUAAAAGUACAAAGGAAAAGUAUGCCAUUUGGAACGUAGUCUGUGUGUGUGGUUUGCUAAACACUCCCACUGAAAUACCACACUGCAAUUAUCAAUCACCGAAUGCACCUGUGAACACGCUUGUAACCAAUUAGAUCACUUAUAAUUAAGAGAUUGAACACUAUGAAUAAGAUUCAGGAUUACUCUUUUGUGUGCAAAACAAUUAUGGCCAAUUAUGGAGAGUUAGAGUAAGUAAUUACAAUUUUUUUACAGUAUAAUACAGUAACUAUGCACAUGUGAUCAUCAGUUAAAGUAAUUGUCUGAUACUGUUAUGAGUAUUGAGGAUAAACAGAUUGCAUUUGUGUUCAUAGUCUUUAUUUACAGCAUCCUGCAAAUGAAACAGCCAAAGACUGGAGAUAAUAGUGUUUCAAACUUAACACAUCAGUGUGCAUUUGGCAUGUGGAGAGAGCUAUUUAUUUGGUGUUUGUGUCUAAAGUUGUGGUCCAAAAAUACCAUUUGCUGUUGCAAGAGAUGUAAGAUAUUUUGUAUUUGUGUAUAUGUACACAAAUAGUUUCAGAAAUUGUGUUUUAGCAAUUGCAAAAAAAAAACUGUAAAAGAUUGAUAAAACAUUGUAAUGAGGACAAACAAAAGAGACGCUGCUCUUUUUUCUUGCACACCAUGUCAGUAUUACUCUCAAAUAUCAGUUUAUUAUCUAGUAUAGUUCCUGUAGGUCUCCAAUAUAUCUAUAUUCUGGCCAUCAAUCACUGUACUGUCAGUCAUGUGGACUGUGAUAUUCAUAGAUAACCUCGUCUAUAUUCAGUCUCCUACGUGACAACUCAGUGAACCGGUCUGCUCAGAGGAACCAGCACUGACACCAACCACCAUGUUGAGGAUAGGAUCGUGUCUUAACAGAGACCGUGUUUCCAGAAGGGCUGGAUCAUCCACACAACAUCUGAUAAGCCAUUCUCCUGCGCUGUGCUCGGCAGGAGUCUCAGGUUCUGCAGUAAGGGAGUGUCUAAUCAUCAGCUCUCUGGAUCUGCACCAGCAGAACCAGAAGAAGACACCAGCUUGUCCAGCAGCUCUAUGAUUUAGUCUCUUCUAUUUCAUCUGAGCUGCUGCAUGCUUGAAGAAGCCUUCUAGCUUUCCUACAGGUAUCUGCACAAAACGCUGUCUCCAUAUACGGUACGAUAAUUUAAGUUUGAAAUAAAAAAAAUUGUUUUUGCUCAGUAGAAACACGAUAGAACAACAAAGUCAGAAAAAUGUGUGAUUGUUUAAUUUAUACACAUGUACAACUGCAGGACAUUAGUUGAAUAAAUAUCUUAUAUAACAUCACAUUCCCUCCCCCCCUACUGCUCCAUCAUGGUAGUUAAAAAUACUUUUCAAAUGUUGACACAGAAACUUUAACAAUCUUCCACUCAGCAACUUAGAAAUACUUUUUAAAAUAUUUGUAGUUUUUUUAUUUUUGAAGAACUUUAAAAUAAAUCAGAAACUGCAACUUUAUAUACUAUAUUACUAAUC